RNAcentral lists this ribosomal RNA (261 nucleotides) under uncultured prokaryote. Its description in RNAcentral is "partial 16S ribosomal RNA". It matches the Rfam family "Bacterial small subunit ribosomal RNA", at positions 524 to 784 of the family's 1533-position model. The record is from RNAcentral.
UACGUAGGUGGCGAGCGUUGUCCGGAUUUACUGGGCGUAAAGGGAGCGUAGGCGGACUUUUAAGUGAGAUGUGAAAUACCCGAGCUCAACUUGGGUGCUGCAUUUCAAACUGGAAGUCUAGAGUGCAGGAGAGGAGAAUGGAAUUCCUAGUGUAGCGGUGAAAUGCGUAGAGAUUAGGAAGAACACCAGUGGCGGAGGCGAUUCUCUGGACUGUAACUGACGCUGAGGCUCGAAAGUGUGGGGAGCAAACAGGAUUAGAUA